AGAUCGAUCGGCCGGCAGUCCGGCACUCCCCAAUCGCAGCCUCCCUCGUCCUCCCCCAAUCCCCACCUCCUCCUCUCCUCCCAAUGGCAGCCUCCUCUCCUCCUCUGUUCCCCUUUCCAGCGGGAGCGGCGCUCCAGCGACGGAGGCAGGACACGGGAGCCGGUGGCGGCAGGGACCGCACGCCUAGCGGCGGCGGCGGAUGGAACGUCGGCUGCGGUGCAGCAGCCUGGCAGGCGGCUGGAGAGGCGUUCAAGCGCGUCCACCCUCACCACGGCCUCCCCAACCCAGGAGCAUAUGGCGGAACCGGUCGGUGCCAGAGCGGCCGACCCUGACCGGCGAGGAGAGCGGACCGGCGAGGAGUGCGGCCGACCCUGACCGACGAGGAGCAAUGCCUUCUUUCUCUGUCUCUUCCUCUCUAUCUAUCUCUCAGCUCUCACUCUUGUUUCUCUCAUUUUUUCUAGCUGCAAGGAAUGGCGGAGGAGUGGAUGUGAGACAAGGAAAAGGGCGAAGACACGCACGUAGCCUCCUCUCCUCUUCCACGGUCAAGAAUCGCGGCAGGAGGGGCGGGAUCCAGGGCAGGACAUGCGGGAUCUCGUUAUGCGGAGGAGCCGAGCGGCCGCCACGCACCAGACGCAAGAGGAAAAGGAGGGAGAAGGAGUGGCUAGGGUAUAUGCAAAGGCUGCUCAGGACCAAUCAGCGGUGUAUGAUGAACCAGGUUGCAGAAAACCAUCGCCCAGCUGCUAAUGGAAUACCUCCCGAGGAGAAUAAGGAACUCUCCCACGCGAGAAUGGAAACGGAGCACAUUUACUUGGACCUCCCAAGCAUCAGAUGGAAACACUACAUAGACAGUAGGAAUAUUGCAAUGAAGUCGAUUGCUUGAAGAUGAUGGUGCAGCUCUAAACACUAUGUGUGAAAAUCUGAGAAAGAAAAGAAGUGCAAGAAUCUCAUGGAAGAGUUUCAUGAAGGAGAACAAGGUUAUACUCUAUUCAGGAGCCAUUGUACAUGCUUUAUGUUGGCUUUGGUGGUUCCAAAUGAAUUCUGUUUGCUUCAACGUUCUUCGUGGUGCAGACGCUGCAUGGAGUGGCGAGGGACAGUCGAACAGUGAUCGUGUCGAUCCAUCAGCCGAGCAGCGAGGUCUUUGAGCUUUUUGAUCGGUCGUGGUGUUCUCUCAGGGGGGAACAUUGUACUUUGGGCAGACCCUUCUUUCCCUAGCUAGCUUCCCAUGUCCACCGCUCCACCAAUACAUCGGAUUAUUUCCAAGGUGAAUGCUACACUGAAAGGAUCAGUGAAGAUGACAUUCUUUCCCUAGCUAGCUUCCCAUGUCCACCGCUCCACCAAUACAUCGGAUUAUUUCCAAGGUGAAUGCUACACUGAAAGGAUCAGUGAAGAUGACAUUCGAGAGGCCCGAUGAUCCACUCGAGCAAACUAUAACUUCCGAGCCAAACAGAAUGCUAUUCAGCUAUUAACAUCGCUAAUAUUACUAUUUCGUAGCGUGGCAGAAAGUCGAUGAGAUGACAUGUGUUGGUUUCUCUAAUGCUUGGUACUAGCUGGUUCUAUGCUUGGUUGGUUGGUCCAAGGUCUAGACGACGCACUAACUUUACGGUUCUAGCUCUGCUCCCUUUCAUAUAUCAGAUCAUCUCCUCACCUGCGGCUCUUGAAAGGAAGAGCACGAGGCACACAGCUGCACCGAGGUGUGGAGACGAGAGUAACCGCCUGGGGGCGGUUAGCGGUGGCGUAAUGGAGCUGCACCUGUUGUUAUACUCUAUUCAGGAGCCAUUGUACAUGCUUUGUGUUGGCUUUGGUGUUUCCAAAUGAAUGUUGUUGGAAGUCAUGUAAAAUUAAUGGUACUGAAUUGUCAUAUUAAUAAGUAUUGAUGAACUGGGCUAGGCAACAAUCACAUGAUUGAAAACUUGAUUGGUUAAUUAGGACAUGGUUAAUUAUUUCUGCAUCUUUCUUGAAAGAUGUAAUUUUUGCAGUGUUCAAAGGUGUUAGAAAAGAAAGUUCAAGUUUUAAGUGUCUGAUUUUUGUAGCAGAGACUUUAUGAGGCUAGAAGAAUUUAUCAAGGUUAUCACUGUGAAAACAACAGAUACUACUUCAGAAAACCUGUAUGUUCAGCAGAGCAACACCUUUGAUGACCAUGGAGUGUAUACUUGGAUUAUUGAAGGCUUCACCACACCUCAGACCCCAUGCAACUCUCCAACAUUUGUAACUGAUAAAUUCUACACCAGAAGAGUUUGCCUUCUGGAUACAAAUGGUAUCUAAGUAUCAAGACAUCUAACAUGGAUGUGGAUGGCAGCACGAAUUUUCUCUCUCUGUUCCUGCAUCUGUAAGAUAUGCUCCCCAGAAAUCAUGGAAUACUGGUAGAAGUCAGCUUUUCUCUCAUGGACCAAGCAAAUGGCAACCACAGGGAGUUCAGAGGAACUGGCAGGGCAUGUGGAUGGAGCAAACCUUCCAAGAUGCUCGGUUUAGGUGCGACUCUCCACUGUUUCCUGCGGCCGCAGCACCGACGGCAAGCGGCUCUCCUCCUUGGAGCCUCAGGUGAGGCGACCCCGUGGCGAGCGGAGCAGCGACGGCGGGAGGGAGCUGCGGACAGCGCCACAGCGGCGGGGCGACGAGGGGCGGCAACAAAGCUACUUGAUGCGGGGGACGGCCGGCGGGGGAACUCGCCUUUUCUGCUCCUGGAGGCUCCGCCUCUGCCCCGCAUCCCCUGUUCCUGGAGGCCCCGACUCCUAUGCUCCUGAGCGGUCGCGGACGGCUGGCGGGGAUGCGUGCUCACCGUCGACGUCGAGGGCGCGAGCCCAGCUCCGGAGCGGGACGGGGACGGAGCUCCGGCGCGGGACGGGGACAUCGGGAUCUUGAAUUUUUAAUUGAGGACCACGUUUCAGAAGAACUGAAUCUGCAAGGGGGUUUCCAGUUUUUAAUUAAGGUGGUGCUCACCGUCCCCAGUUUCCAAAGCCAUUAACAAUACUAUACCCACCAAGGGUGACACCUUGAGUCGCAGUUGAGAGACAUCAUUUGGGAGAAGUGACGGCGACAUUCUCUCCGAUAGCAUGUCAUAAACAUCAUUUUGAUGCAGAAGUCAGACUAUACAACCAACAACCUUUGAAAUGCAUAUUAAUUACAUAUUGUUUCACCUAUCAAAUAGGUUUUUAUUCA
Lolium perenne is the source of this 3156-nucleotide non-coding RNA. The record is from RefSeq and is a predicted model, not a curated record. Lineage: Eukaryota; Viridiplantae; Streptophyta; Magnoliopsida; Poales; Poaceae.